UACGGAAGGGGCUAGCGUUGUUCGGAAUUACUGGGCGCAAAGAGCGCGUAGGCGGCUUACCAAGUUGGGGGUGAAAUCCCGGAGCUCAACUCCGGAACUGCCUUCAAAACUGGUAGGCUCGAGUCCGGAAGAGGGGCGUGGAAUUCCCAGUGUAGAGGUGAAAUUCGUAGAUAUUGGGAAGAACACCGGUGGCGAAGGCGGCGCCCUGGUCCGGUACUGACGGUGGGGCGCGAAAGCGUGGGGAGCAAACAGG
RNAcentral lists this ribosomal RNA (253 nucleotides) under uncultured bacterium. RNAcentral describes it as "partial 16S ribosomal RNA". It matches the Rfam family "Bacterial small subunit ribosomal RNA", at positions 524 to 776 of the family's 1533-position model. The record is from RNAcentral.